CCUACGGGAGGCAGCAGUGAGGAAUAUUGGUCAAUGGGCGCAAGCCUGAACCAGCCAAGUCGCGUGAGGGAUGACGGCCCUAUGGAUUGUAAACCUCUUUUGUCGGGGAGCAAGGCCCGCCACGUGUGGCGGGAAGGAGAGUACCCGAAGAAAAAGCAUCGGCUAACUCCGUGCCAGCAGCCGCGGUAAUACGGAGGAUGCGAGCGUUAUCCGGAUUUAUUGGGUUUAAAGGGUGCGUAGGCGGAAGGUUAAGUCAGCGGUAAAAUGUCGGGGCUCAACACCGGCCUGCCGUUGAAACUGGUCUUCUUGAGUGAGCGAGAAGUAUGCGGAAUGCGUGGUGUAGCGGUGAAAUGCAUAGAUAUCACGCAGAACUCCGAUUGCGAAGGCAGCAUACCGGCGCUCAACUGACGCUGAGGCACGAAAGCGUGGGGAUCGAACAGGAUUAGAUACCCCGGUAGUC
This 460-nucleotide ribosomal RNA is filed under the name uncultured bacterium. Its description in RNAcentral is "partial 16S ribosomal RNA". It matches the Rfam family "Bacterial small subunit ribosomal RNA", at positions 338 to 795 of the family's 1533-position model. The record is from RNAcentral.